GGGACGAACGCUGGCGGCGUGCUUAACACAUGCAAGUCAAGGGGGCCCGCAAGGGCAACCGGCGAACGGGUGCGUAACACGUGAGCAACCUGCCGAAUGCGUGGGGGGAUAGCCGGCCCAACGGCCGGGUAAUACCGCAUACGUUCCCUUGGGGGAGUCCCUGGGGGAGGAAGCUGUGGCGUAAGCCAUGGCGCGCGUCGAGGGGCUCGCGGCUUAUCAGCUAGUUGGUGUGGGUAACGGCCCACCAAGGCGACGACGAGUAGCUGGUCUGAGAGGAUGGCCAGCCACGAUUGGGACUGAGAAACGGCCCAGACUCCUACGGGAGGCAGCAGGCGGGAAUCGUGCGCAAUGGACCGAAAGGCUAGACGCAGCGACGCGCGUGGGGAUGACGCAGUUCGGUGUCGUAAACCCUGGUUCGACCCGGGACAACCGACCUUACCGUUUUCGGGAGUCGUCGG
RNAcentral lists this ribosomal RNA (458 nucleotides) under uncultured soil bacterium. RNAcentral describes it as "bacterial SSU rRNA". It matches the Rfam family "Bacterial small subunit ribosomal RNA", at positions 27 to 478 of the family's 1533-position model. The record is from RNAcentral.